Lynx canadensis (Canada lynx) is the source of this 1521-nucleotide long non-coding RNA. RefSeq lists it as uncharacterized. The transcript is spliced from 2 exons. Lineage: Eukaryota; Metazoa; Chordata; Mammalia; Carnivora; Felidae. The record is from RefSeq and is a predicted model, not a curated record.
UCUCACUAUAAGUUUUUGUUCAACCAAACCUAAUAUACCACCCUCUCCCUGGCCUUUUGCACAUCAAGUGAUCUUCUAGGUCCCAGAGUUAGCUGGUGGCAGAGGCAGGACUAGAACCCAGAUCUUCUAACUCCCAACCCUGUGCUCCUUCCAAUACACUACUGCCUGAUAUAUUUUACAGAUGAUGGUGACAGAAAUCAUAAUGGCAGCCACUACUAACUACUCAAGGCCAGGGUCAGCAGUAAAUGUUUUACAUGAAUGAUUGCAUUGAAUCCUCAGAAUUACUGACCUACAAAGUAAAUAAGGAAACAGAGGCUCAGAAAAAUUAAGCAACUUCUCCAAGACUCAACUGCAGAAUCUUCUCGGGCCAUUACUCCCUCGGAGAGAAGCAAAUCCUUCAUAGGGAAUGCUGGAUGUGCCUGUGACAAACUGUCAACCAAAGAAAACAGAAGGAUGAAGUGAAACCAAGAGGCUAGCUGCUGACAAACGCAUGGCAUCAUUCAUGUGCAGGGCCCUCAGGGAAGAACAGCAGGCUGCUCACUGGUGGGAAAGCCUGAAGACAAAACUCCAUGGGUGUGGAAAAACCCAACACAAGAAUUCUGACAAAGAUCUGGGGAACACUAAGGACAGACAGUGCAUUAUAAAAGAAAAGGAGAUCCAGAGGGUCUUAGUAGAUAAAGCAUCCUGUACGGCUAGCCAGCUCAGUAGACUGAAUUGGGUGUAUUUCCCAUUACAGAUAAAUAAAGUAGGUAUAUCAAUCAACCUAAGUCUACUUGACAUCAGUCCCUGAUCAACUUGAGGUGAAUAAAUGAGGACCAGAUCCUUGAUCCAAAGGAGUUAAGACCCAAUCUAUUUGUAAGGCUCUGCCUAAGCAUCCAGAAGGCUUGUUCUCGAUAUCUCUUUGGCUACGAUCAACCAGCAAAUGCCCAUGUAACUAUGAACACCACAAGAAAAUAAUGAGUUAGUUUCCCCGGUAUCCUUGAACUUCACUGUUAUCUCAAGUUUGUGGAAAGUUACAUGGAAGAAAAGAAAAGAUUCUUUUUCAAAGACCCGGUCACUUCCUAAGGGACUGAAGGUCAUUUUCUAUUGCUAGAGGUGCUGCCCUGCAGAGUGCCCCAGGAUCUCAUGUUGAAGGGACCAAGCUGCCCUGAAGGCAGGUGUUUUUCCUGGGAUUCUUGGACUGGAGUUGGUAUUUCCUCAAAAUUCUAAUGAGAUGCUUGGACGUGGCUGGGGAUGUUCUGCAUAGUGAUGGAGCCACAGAACAUGCAAUCAGAAGAGUCUGAAACAAUGUAUCCCACAUUUGCAGGCAAACAUGGGGUGUGUUUACUGAGUACUUAGCAAUUAUUAAACAUAAGCAAUUCCAAUAAUAAUUAUAUUAAGGCAUUAAAAAAUUAACCAAUGGCAUCUUACCUGUAACAACCUGAGUCGCUGUUCAUUGUUGAAUCUUUCCACUGCAGCCCAGAACCACCGAAUUACAAUAUGAUUGUCAUGAUAUCCUAUUAAACCAAUCAGGAAAGCCCA